GCCGCGCGCCUCGCCCCGCGCUACCGACACUGCCGCAUAUGUGUUGCAUGCAUCAAGAUGCACCAGGCAUUCGAUCAUGUUCUUUGCUAUCCUUAAUUGUGACAAAUCACGGGAUAACACAGUGCUUUAAGAAUCCCCCACAUUAUAUUAUGGAAUAUAAAUCAGUCCACGAAUAAAACUUGUUUUUCGUAAUGAGUUGUGUACAGUAUACACUAUUCGUCAGUGGGGAGGUCAGUGAACGCUGAGGAUUGCCAGAUCCCGUGAUCGGAACUAUGUAUAGCUCGACUACCCUGCGGGAGGUGACAGUGGUGGAUGGUGUUCAACUAAUAAUAGCCUCCCCUCCAGCGCGCGAUCAUUGGAACGCUGACGGGAGCGCACACAUGUGGCGCCCGUCGGCGUCGUGCUCAGCGUACACGUUUAUUUUCGAAACGGUCGUCACGCGGCGCGGUUCACGGUGUUCGGGUGUUCCUUACAUAAGAGCCGGCCUCCGGCGAGUCCGCCGUCGAGGCUCUGUCCUGCACUUCGCCCAGUCCCCGCGCGCUGCAGGUCGCUGCACGUUCGGGUAACCGAUCCGAUGGACGCUCGCCGUCGGUUCUAUUUCGGGAAAAUACAAAUUUGGAAUGGAUGGUACUCCCGAGUCGUAAGCGAACUCCGUCGGUUGACUCCAUUUUUAGAGCUGGUCUGCGCGUGCGCAGCGUGCGCGCUGCCAGUGCUCAGCGAGCUGCCAUCACGCCGCGUCGCUCGCCACCCCCACGUUGUCCCCGACUGUCGCGUUGUGCUCCCGUCGCUAUCAAGUACGAGGUGGCGUCACGAUCAGGACGACCGCUGCAUAUUAUUGAUAUGUAACAGGUAGUUGCUUAUUGCAACUGCACAGGACUGCAGUACACUCAAGAAUGAAGACACAAAGCCUUGCGCGAGUUCCGUGCUUCCUUACUUCCCAUAGUGCUUAUAAUCGUAUGGAAUGUAAAGAAGUAUGGAGCUGCGCGGGCGUGCCUGCGAGUCCGGAAAUCGCAUCAUCCUUGUUCACAUGUGUGACAGAAGCUUUGUCUUGUUAUUUGUGAUAACAAUUUGACAGUGUUCUAAUUUAAUUAAAUUGUGUGAUAGCUGUUCUGCAUUCGGAA
Molecule: long non-coding RNA, 1121 nt
Organism: Trichoplusia ni (cabbage looper)
Lineage: Eukaryota; Metazoa; Arthropoda; Insecta; Lepidoptera; Noctuidae
Exons: 2
Source: RefSeq, a predicted model, not a curated record